GCAGUGGUGGUUCAGGGGUAGAACUCUCACCUGCUAGGUGGGAGACCCAGGUUUGAUUCCCAGCCAGUGCA
RNAcentral lists this transfer RNA (71 nucleotides) under Loxodonta africana (African savanna elephant). It matches the Rfam family "tRNA". Rfam says of the family: Transfer RNA (tRNA) molecules are approximately 80 nucleotides in length. Their secondary structure includes four short double-helical elements and three loops (D, anti-codon, and T loops). Lineage: Eukaryota; Metazoa; Chordata; Mammalia; Proboscidea; Elephantidae. The record is from Rfam by way of RNAcentral.